CCCAUUCCCCACCCACUCUCCCAUCCCACCAGUCCCACACGCCGCCACCUCUGCUGCUGCGUUGCCUCCGCGGGUUCAUCGCCGCUGCCGGCCGCCGCCACCUCUGCUGCUGCGCCCGUGCGCCAUCCCCUGCCGGCCCGCCCUGCUGCUCCCUCGCCAUCACCGCCGAGCACUCGACCAGAGCAGUCAUAAGUCAGCUUUCUCCUUCCUGGCUUCCCCUUCUGGCCUUCUCUGUUCCUUCCUUCUUCUCCUGGGCUCCUGGCUUCCCCUUCUCUGUUCCUUCCUUCUUCUCUGUCUCCUCUAUUCUCUAAUUCUCUGAAUUUUGCUCCACUUCAAGAUUGAACCUAGGUGAACUGAUUGUGAACUGUUGGCAAUUAGGUGGAGAUGAGGCUAAAAGGUGCACUGCUGCGACUAUCAAGAUUUUCUACCAACAACCAUGUCUCGGUAUUCCUAUAUUCCUACAGUACUUCUCAACUUCUCGUCCUCAUAUAAAAAUCACUAAUUUAUAUAUAUUAUUUAUAUUUCUAAUAUAUAUACACAAACGUAUCCCCGUAUCAGGGUUUUUAAAAAACAGCGGUAUCGCCGUAUCCGUAUCGCCGUAUCCGUGCAACCUAGGCACCUACUAAAUGAAGACCAAGUAUUCAUACCUUGAAUGGCUUGAGCAAGAAAAGGGUGAUCCAAAUCCUGAAUGAAGCAGUUGGUGGAAACACCGGCACAAGAAAAGUAAGUCCAUGAACCACAAUUUGCAAUAACACCCUAUUAUUGGUAACAAGACAAGAACAUAACCGCAUACCAAAUUUAGAAUCGAGGAUUGACCCCAUGGACACUGAUUGUAGUUACAUUUCUCUGGCGGCCACCAGUCAAUCGUAGCACACACGUAAUUCUCAUCGGUUUCAGCAAUUCUGUUUGAUCCUUUAACUAUGACCGUCGCUUCCUCCGGCUGCUGAGCCGAAGCCGACCAAGGAGCAUGUAGACAAGCAAGCGCAAGUAGUAGAAGAAGAAGCCUCACGGCCAUCCUUCCUACCUAGAACAGAAAAGCAAAAUCACUAUCCAAAGCUGUGUUCGCUCUGCGUGCAGACUAGCAGACAACCAUUUGUGUGUGAGCAAAAACAAUGAGGAUUGCUAUGAGAUGGCAAAAAUCAUGCAAGAUUUAACUAGUGAAAUGACGCAGCGACGCUAAAUUCCCCCGAACUGUUCGAAUCCAACAACUUGGGCAGCAUUCGCUAGGGCAAUUGCAGACCGAAUUAGCCAACCGGAUAAGUACCAGCACGAGCCUAGGCUAGAAAUUAGAGGCAAAGAUCCCAAUCCUCACAUCUACGAGAAAAGAUGCCAUUCUGAAGAAGAGUACGGAGAAGGAAGCAGAGACCCCCACCUUUCCCCUCCGUCCACCAACCAACCACUCUAUCCCGUCCCGUCCACCGUCCACGUCGAGAUUCCUCCUCGCCCACGGGUGAGCCGCGGCGGCGCGCGAGCCGUAGGCUGGGAGAUCUGGCCGGCGGAUGAUUCUGCCGAUUCGGAGUUCAGGCCGCCAUUUCUCGAGCUCUAGGUGCCUUUUUCGGGGUGCUACAGCUACUAGGAGUCUGGGACAGCACUGCAACUUUGCCGCUGUUGGCUUCUAGCGGCAACGUGGCAGGCAGCGCCGGGAACAGAGCAGAAGAGUGCAAGACCUGGUCACCGGGAUAGAUUCUGUCGGACUUCUCUGGUAAAAAAAGAGAUUGUUCCUCCUCGGUUAGUCGGAAAUCUCAGGUGAUCUAUUUUUCUCAGGAGUACAAGAAAACUGAUCAUUCGCACUGGAUGCACGAUUUAUGUAUGAGUCCUUUUAUUUUAUUUUGUAUGAGUCCUUCAAAAUGAGUUGGUUUUCGAGUAGCAUUUAAUUCUUCCCCCUUUUUUUUCAGGUAGCGUUUAAUAUUUUUCCCCUAAAAAAGAAAGAAUUAGAUGCUGCCCGAAAAACAAAUGGACAGCAAGAUUUGAGCAUUGCUGAUUAUGAACAUAC
Molecule: long non-coding RNA, 1993 nt
Filed under: Brachypodium distachyon (stiff brome)
Lineage: Eukaryota; Viridiplantae; Streptophyta; Magnoliopsida; Poales; Poaceae
Description: long non-coding RNA (BDIS_LNC001437)
Source: RNAcentral